Long non-coding RNA from Mustela erminea (ermine), 96 nucleotides. RefSeq lists it as uncharacterized. NCBI's taxonomy places the organism in Eukaryota, Metazoa, Chordata, Mammalia, Carnivora, Mustelidae. The transcript is spliced from 3 exons. The record is from RefSeq and is a predicted model, not a curated record.
UUGUAGCAUAUGACAAAAUUUCUUUCCUUUUUAAGACUGAAUAAUCUUCCAUUGUACGUAUAUACCACACUUUGCUUAUCCAUUCGUCCAUCAGUG